UGGCAUCACUGAGUUUUGAAAGAAUUUCCGUGGAGGAUGACUUCCCGGCCUAUCAGCUAGUUGGUGAGGUAAUGGCUCACCAAGGCAACGACGGGUAGCCGGCCUGAGAGGGCGACCGGCCACACUGGGACUGAGACACGGCCCAGACUCCUACGGGAGGCAGCAGUGGGGAAUAUUGGGCAAUGGAG
Molecule: ribosomal RNA, 188 nt
Filed under: uncultured bacterium
Lineage: Bacteria
Description: partial 16S ribosomal RNA
Rfam family: Bacterial small subunit ribosomal RNA
Source: RNAcentral